GACGUAGGGCGCGAGCGUUGUCCGGAUUUAUUGGGCGUAAAGAGCUCGUAGGCGGCUCGUUGCGUCGGCUGUGAAAACCCGCAGCUCAACUGUGGGCUUGCAGCUGAUACGGGCGGGCUGGGAUUCGGUAGGGGAGAGUGGAAUUCCUGGUGUAGCGGUGAAAUGCGCAGAUAUCAGGAGGAACACCGGUGGCGAAGGCGGGUCUCUGGGCCGAUAUCGACGCUGAGGAGCGAAAGCGUGGGGAGCGAACGGG
This 253-nucleotide ribosomal RNA is filed under the name uncultured bacterium. RNAcentral describes it as "partial 16S ribosomal RNA". It matches the Rfam family "Bacterial small subunit ribosomal RNA", at positions 524 to 776 of the family's 1533-position model. The record is from RNAcentral.